Cavia porcellus (domestic guinea pig) is the source of this 2468-nucleotide long non-coding RNA. RefSeq lists it as uncharacterized. Lineage: Eukaryota; Metazoa; Chordata; Mammalia; Rodentia; Caviidae. The transcript is spliced from 8 exons. The record is from RefSeq and is a predicted model, not a curated record.
AAACUGUAGGGAGGGUGCAGUUCUGAGCAGAGCUCCCUCCACAAGCCAAGUCAUGAUUCUGUAAGCGAUGUGGACCGAUCUGCUGAGUUCUAGGUAUGGCAUUUCCACAGCAUCAUGGAUCAAGCAAAGCGUUUUUCAAUGCAGAAUAAGCAAGCGAUACCACAGCGGGAGUCCCAGAGCGUCACACCACUGGAGGUCCUCGCUCACAGGUGGUGAGACUACAAGCCAAAGCAUUGCAGAGCAAGAGUCUUAUUCUGCUGCCCAGAGCUGGACUUGAACUCAGAAGACUCCUGCCUCAGCUUUCUCAGUAGCUGGAGUUACAGGUGUUCACCACUGAAGCCAGCAUAUUGAACCAGCAUGGGGAGGCGAUGGGCUCCAGGUUGCGUUCCCAGGAGGAGCUGGAAGCCGAGAUCCCUGGCAGGUGCAGUUCACAGUGGGUUCCAGCUCCUGCAAGCAUCUGCUGUGGGCUAACCCUCCCACUGAGGGGCAACACUUCCAGUGCUGAUGAAGCUUGUAGCCCGUCCACCCCCGGCCAUGCGUGGGGACCAGUCCUAGUCCUGCCCGCAGCAGGAGGUGAUUGAUCGUCUCUUCCAAGGCUGCAAGGUGUCUGAACUUAUGCUCUGGCUCCUUUGAGGCUCAGCCCUGACUGAAUGCCUAUAAUAUUUGUAACUCUGCUGCCUGUGACAAAGGGACAGUGUCAGAAGAGAGGACAGGACUGUCCAGGAGAUCUCAUUACCACCAGAUCCAUCCAUCACUGACUGAACUACUCGGACUUGCUGCUGAAGACUGAUGGGGCUUGGGGCUCACAGCCCUCCAUUAAGGUAUUCUUCUCUGAGUGCCAAGUCCCACUGGAUGUCUCAGGAUGAAUAAAAGCCUUUCCCACAACCAGGGAGACUGCUGAUGUACUCACUAAAGUCCUGUUACAGGAAAUCAUCCCAAGUACUACAACUAAAACGGAGUGGCCCCUACCCAGUCUUCCUCGGAAUCUCAACAGUGGUCAAGGUCGCUGGAGUGCCAUCCUGGUUCCACAUCACUCAAGCUAAGCGAUGCCCUCCUAACCCUAACUCCCCUGACUCACAUAUUCUGAGAGGUCAUCUCACCUCCCAUCUCCCCUUUCUGGCUCACCAAGGCCCCACAGCCACAGUUUUCAGGCUAGGUCAUGUUUUGUUAUCCUGUUUGGUUCCUGAUCCCUUCCAUUCUAUUAGUGAAUUUUUCACUGUAACUAUCUUAGUUCUCUCGGCCCUCAGCUGUUUAGUUAAACAUGAGACUCCUGUAGGUCUAAGAUCUCAUGUCACUUAUAUAGACAGAGUCACGACCCUCCCCACUCCUAUUCUAUAAUUUCCCAAACACAAUUCAGUCAUCAGGCCUUGUAUUUCUCAUGCUUCUUAUUCUUUCCAGCUCAACUCCUGGGCCAAAGAUGAGCCCUACCUACCUACACUAUUAACUUUUACCCUUUCAGAUGGGGAAAUAAUUACCUCUCACAAUUCCACCCCCCAAACUCCACGCUUAUUUUUCAGACUCUCCCUCACCAUGGCCACUUAGAUCAAGGCCACUUUUCCUUCUACCCCUCCUGGGCCCUUUAAUUAUGACAGUGGCCUGCCUCCUCAUAGCCUUGUGUUUUUAUUUCUCCAAUCGAGGAUGCGAACAUUCACCAAUGAUUAAUUCCUUGUCCUGGCUGAAACAUCUGGUACCAGCUUCUACAGGGUCAUCAACCUUCAUUCUGUCAACCUUCCUGAACCCCAAUGGCGCCCCCUUUCAGCAGCAAGUAAGCCAUUGAAGUCAACCGACCUUAAGGCAGGAGGCAGAAUGUUGGAGAGAGCUUCCAUCGGUCCAAGACUCCACGGGAAGGGGCUAAGAUCUAGAAGACAGUGUGCCUAUCUUCUGAGACAAGUAGCAGUGGCAGAUGUGACCUUUGCUGCUGUACACCUGGUGCGUGGCUGAUCCUACUGCCCUCUACGCACGUCCUGUCCUACACACUCUGUCCCUCACACUCGAAGUGAUAAUAGUAUUUCAGAGCAACCCUAAGCGCUUUUCCUGGAAUCCGUGUCUUCUUUCCAGCCUCAGCCUGAAGUCCUCUGUGAGAUUUACCUAUCGGUGCAGACCACAGAGGACUGCGGUUCUGAGCUUCGCCCUUCUCUCCUCACAGCUCACAGGAAUCUGCCCUUUGUCCUGGGCUCUAUGCAACCCCCAGGCCCUCGCCUUCCAAAGGUUUUGGCUUGGCCAGCUGGUUUUCCGGACCUUGUGUGAUGUAGAUUUUGAGCAAUUUUACGAGAAAAGGAGCUCAGGGAGGUGUCUCUACCGUGGGUGGUCCAGGGUUGAGGUUCCUGGGGUGCAGCGACAAUGCAUCAAGCUUUGUGAGAGCACAUUCAGGGUCUCAGCAGGAGAGGAAGCCCACUGCUCUGAAUCCAACGGGGCAUUCCUUUCUGUGAGGACUGUCUUGCUCCCUAAUAAAACUUUAUGACAAUUGA